GAGAACAGACCGCCGGACCAGUCCGCUGGUCAGGCAAGGGUGAAACGGUGGGGUAAGAGCCCACCGCGCGACCGGCAACGGAAGCGGCACGGCAAACCCCACCGGGAGCAAGACCAAAUAGGGGCGGCACGCCGGGCAACCGGCAGCGGCGUUUCCGCGUCGUCGCCCGGGUCGGUCGCGUGAGGUGCUCGGUAACGGGCAUCCCAGAGGAAUGGCCAUCCAUCGCCCUCGGGCGAGGACAGAACCCGGCUUACAGGCCGUCUGACCCU
Molecule: RNase P RNA, 269 nt
Filed under: Alphaproteobacteria bacterium
Lineage: Bacteria; Pseudomonadati; Pseudomonadota; Alphaproteobacteria
Description: partial RNase P RNA component class A
Rfam family: Bacterial RNase P class A
About the family: Ribonuclease P (RNase P) is a ubiquitous endoribonuclease, found in archaea, bacteria and eukarya as well as chloroplasts and mitochondria.
Source: RNAcentral